RNAcentral lists this long non-coding RNA (202 nucleotides) under Mytilus galloprovincialis (Mediterranean mussel). The record is from RNAcentral. Lineage: Eukaryota; Metazoa; Mollusca; Bivalvia; Mytilida; Mytilidae.
AUUGGAGACUAAUGGCCGGAAUGCAGGGUUGGGUAAGGACCAGAUUAAUUAAGAAUGUAACAAUAUUAUUUCCGUUUACGGUGACAUUGCUUUAUUGUUACACGGAAGUCUGCAAUGUACGAUGGGGCUAGUAAUAUAUAUUAUAAUAAAACUUGAAGUCUGCAAUGUACGAUGGGGCUAGUAAUAUAUAUUAUAAUAAAAC